AUAGAAAGAUAUAUCUUUGGAUUUAAGAAGCACUCCUUAAACCUGAGCAGCAUUACAUGGUUGUGUCCCUUUCUUCAGCAGGACAAUAUAGAUGUGUGUGAGCCUCCACAAAAAAUACUCUGUGUGGAAAUCGACAAGGUGCCACUGAAGCCUAAACUGUGUAAGCAGAACCAUCAAGCCCCACAGCUCAUGUCCCAGCUCACCCUGAAGAUGGACAAUGUAGGUGUGAGCUGGUCAUCUACAGAAAAAAGGGAGCGCAUGGCGAGCAAAAUCAGAGAUCAACAACUGGGGCCAGGCUUAAAGCAUUUAUGUAGUAUAUUCAUAUGUUUAACGGAAUAUUUAAAUAUUUAGUAUUCAUGUGUAUUGUGUUUGAAUUGAUUUAGUAUGAUUGUAUGUAUAAUAAAAAAAUAAAAUC
This 415-nucleotide long non-coding RNA is filed under the name Carassius auratus (goldfish). Its description in RNAcentral is "lncRNA (ENSCARG00000018375.1)". Lineage: Eukaryota; Metazoa; Chordata; Actinopteri; Cypriniformes; Cyprinidae. The record is from RNAcentral.